UUGACCUUCCAAGUUUUAUUAAGAAGACGAUGAAGUUAUUUGCGUCUUUAAUCGAACAAUUCUUCUCGGCUUUGCUGAGGUUUUGAUGGAGAAGUGUUUCCUGCGCAGCCUUUAAUCUUGUUACAUUCUAUGAAUGCCAAGGACACUAGUUAGAAAAUUCUGAUUCUU
Molecule: small nucleolar RNA, 168 nt
Filed under: Lachancea lanzarotensis
Lineage: Eukaryota; Fungi; Ascomycota; Saccharomycetes; Saccharomycetales; Saccharomycetaceae
Description: Small nucleolar RNA snR45
Rfam family: Small nucleolar RNA snR45
Source: Rfam by way of RNAcentral